RNAcentral lists this ribosomal RNA (373 nucleotides) under Cellulosimicrobium sp. M72. Its description in RNAcentral is "bacterial SSU rRNA". It matches the Rfam family "Bacterial small subunit ribosomal RNA", at positions 63 to 437 of the family's 1533-position model. The record is from RNAcentral. Lineage: Bacteria; Bacillati; Actinomycetota; Actinomycetes; Micrococcales; Promicromonosporaceae.
CGAACGAUGAUGCCCAGCUUGCUGGGUGGAUUAGUGGCGAACGGGUGAGUAACACGUGAGUAACCUGCCCUUGACUUCGGGAUAACUCCGGGAAACCGGGGCUAAUACCGGAUAUGAGCCGCCUUCGCAUGGGGGUGGUUGGAAAGUUUUUCGGUCAGGGAUGGGCUCGCGGCCUAUCAGCUUGUUGGUGGGGUGAUGGCCUACCAAGGCGACGACGGGUAGCCGGCCUGAGAGGGCGACCGGCCACACUGGGACUGAGACACGGCCCAGACUCCUACGGGAGGCAGCAGUGGGGAAUAUUGCACAAUGGGCGAAAGCCUGAUGCAGCGACGCCGCGUGAGGGAUGAAGGCCUUCGGGUUGUAAACCUCUUUC